Molecule: non-coding RNA, 345 nt
Organism: Macaca mulatta (Rhesus monkey)
Lineage: Eukaryota; Metazoa; Chordata; Mammalia; Primates; Cercopithecidae
Source: RefSeq, a predicted model, not a curated record
AACUGCCAGCUGGCACGCCAAAACGGUAUCUGCGCUCUGGGCCGCCUGACUCCUUUCGUUCUAAGACCUACACCGCCAGGCUCUCGCCUCCUCCUCCGCUCUUUGGCGCCAAACAAAGCUAGCCAAUAGGAACGCGGCCUAUGGCGCCCGAAAAGGGACAUCCGCCGCUCAGCCGCAUUCCAGGAGGGGCGGAGUGAGAGGGGUCCUUCCAAGGUUCAAGGCGGCACUUUGAGGUUAAGAGGAAAGGCCCAAAAACUUGGUAUGCAUUGGUAGGACGCAAGCGUUUCAGUUUUUCAGUGCGGGUUUUCUGUUUGAUAUUAAAAUAAAGCUAUCUUUUAUUGGGUA